RNAcentral lists this ribosomal RNA (429 nucleotides) under Chloroflexota bacterium. RNAcentral describes it as "Chloroflexi bacterium partial 16S ribosomal RNA". It matches the Rfam family "Bacterial small subunit ribosomal RNA", at positions 355 to 776 of the family's 1533-position model. The record is from RNAcentral. Lineage: Bacteria; Bacillati; Chloroflexota.
UGGGGAAUAUUGCACAAUGGGCGCAAGCCUGAUGCAGCCAUGCCGCGUGUAUGAAGAAGGCCUUCGGGUUGUAAAGUACUUUCAGUCGGGAGGAAGGUGGUAAGGUUAAUAACCUUGGCAAUUGACGUUACCGACAGAAGAAGCACCGGCUAACUCCGUGCCAGCAGCCGCGGUAAUACGGAGGGUGCAAGCGUUAAUCGGAAUUACUGGGCGUAAAGCGCACGCAGGCGGUUGAUUGAGUCAGAUGUGAAAUCCCCGGGCUUAACCCGGGAAUUGCAUCUGAUACUGGUCAGCUAGAGUCUUGUAGAGGGGGGUAGAAUUCCAUGUGUAGCGGUGAAAUGCGUAGAGAUGUGGAGGAAUACCGGUGGCGAAGGCGGCCCCCUGGACAAAGACUGACGCUCAGGUGCAAAAGCGUGGGGAGCAAACAGG